RNAcentral lists this ribosomal RNA (253 nucleotides) under uncultured bacterium. Its description in RNAcentral is "partial 16S ribosomal RNA". It matches the Rfam family "Bacterial small subunit ribosomal RNA", at positions 524 to 776 of the family's 1533-position model. The record is from RNAcentral.
UACGAAAGGGGCUAGCGUUGUUCGGAAUUACUGGGCGUAAAGGGCGCGUAGGCGGUCUUGUAAGUCAGAUGUGAAAGCCCCGGGCUCAACCCGGGAAUAGCAUUUGAUACUGCGAGGCUUGGGUCCGGGAGAGGAUGGCGGAAUUCCCAGUGUAGAGGUGAAAUUCGUAGAUAUUGGGAAGAACUCCGGUGGCGAAGGCGGCCAUCUGGACCGGUACUGACGCUGGGGCGCGAAAGCGUGGGGAGCACACAGG